Molecule: transfer RNA, 94 nt
Filed under: Asanoa ferruginea
Lineage: Bacteria; Bacillati; Actinomycetota; Actinomycetes; Micromonosporales; Micromonosporaceae
Description: tRNA-Ala
Source: RNAcentral
GGCCCGCUGGCCAAGCACCCGGGCGGCCGCCUCGCGGGCGGUCGCGAACGCUUCCGGCAGCAGGUCGUCGAGGGUCUCACCCUCGGCCAGCCGC